GACGAACGCUGGCGGCGUGCCUAAUACAUGCAAGUUGAGCGCUGACUGUUGGUACUUGUACCAACUGGAUGAGCAGCGAACGGGUGAGUAACGCGUGGGGAAUCUGCCUUUGAGCGGGGGACAACAUUUGGCUAACGAAUGCUAAUACCGCAUAAAAACUUUAAACACAAGUUUUAAGUUUGAAAGAUGCAAUUGCAUCACUCAAAGAUGAUCCCGCGUUGUAUUAGCUAGUUGGUGAGGUAAAGGCUCACCAAGGCGAUGAUACAUAGCCGACCUGAGAGGGUGAUCGGCCACAUUGGGACUGAGACACGGCCCAAACUCCUACGGGAGGCAGCAGUAGGGAAUCUUCGGCAAUGGACGAAAGUCUGACCGAGCAACGCCGCGUGAUUGAAGAAGGUUUUCGGAUCGUAAAACUCUGUUGGUAGAGAAAGAAACGUUGGUGAGAGUGGAA
Molecule: ribosomal RNA, 451 nt
Filed under: Lactococcus lactis
Lineage: Bacteria; Bacillati; Bacillota; Bacilli; Lactobacillales; Streptococcaceae
Description: bacterial SSU rRNA
Rfam family: Bacterial small subunit ribosomal RNA
Source: RNAcentral